AAAUAAACACACUAAUAUGCCAUGCCGAGGGGGAACAAAUUUGAAGUAUAUCCACGGGUCCUUUGUAUUAAACAUGAAAAUAUUAGUACAAAUGUGCCAAAGGAAGUGGCUCAAAUAAAUACCAAAACAAAAUGAAAAUAGGUCGAGAGUUAUCUUUUCCCACCCUAAGAUGGUACCGGGAUCAAAUGGAAGAAUUAGCCAAGGGCCUAAGCCGAGGCUAGCCCUUCCUUCCCCUAGAAUGUCACUCCCACAUUCACACAUAAAAAUAUU
RNAcentral lists this long non-coding RNA (270 nucleotides) under Capsicum annuum. RNAcentral describes it as "long non-coding RNA (CANN_LNC014833)". The record is from RNAcentral. Lineage: Eukaryota; Viridiplantae; Streptophyta; Magnoliopsida; Solanales; Solanaceae.